UGUUUCUGUGGCCAAGUGGUUAGAUCUUUCGCCUCGGAUGCGGGAGUUCGUGGGUUCGAUCCCCGGUCGAGUCAU
Molecule: non-coding RNA, 75 nt
Organism: Potamilus streckersoni
Lineage: Eukaryota; Metazoa; Mollusca; Bivalvia; Unionida; Unionidae
Source: the annotation of a GenBank genome assembly